GACGAACGCUGGCGGCGUGCUUAACACAUGCAAGUCGAACGGAAAGGCCCUGCUUGCCGGGUACUCGAGUGGCGAACGGGUGAGUAACACGUGGGUGAUCUGCCCUGCACUUCGGGAUAAGCCUGGGAAACUGGGUCUAAUACCGGAUAGGAGCCAUUUUUAGUGUGAUGGUUGGAAAGUUUUUUCGGUGUAGGAUGAGCUCGCGGCCUAUCAGCUUGUUGGUGGGGUAAUGGCCUACCAAGGCGGCGACGGGUAGCCGGCCUGAGAGGGUGGACGGCCACAUUGGGACUGAGAUACGGCCCAGACUCCGACGGGAGGCAGCAGUGGGGAAUAUUGCACAAUGGGCGCAAGCCUGAUGCAGCGACGCCGCGUGGGGGAUGACGGCCUUCGGGUUGUAAACUCCUUUCGCUAGGGACGAAGCUUUUUGUGACGGUACCUAGAGAAGAAGCACCGGCUAACUACGUG
Molecule: ribosomal RNA, 465 nt
Filed under: uncultured bacterium
Lineage: Bacteria
Description: partial 16S ribosomal RNA
Rfam family: Bacterial small subunit ribosomal RNA
Source: RNAcentral